Molecule: ribosomal RNA, 424 nt
Filed under: uncultured bacterium
Lineage: Bacteria
Description: bacterial SSU rRNA
Rfam family: Bacterial small subunit ribosomal RNA
Source: RNAcentral
GGAAUUUUGCGCAAUGGGCGAAAGCCUGACGCAGCAACGCCGCGUGAGUGAUGAAGGCCUUCGGGUCGUAAAGCUCUGUCAGAGGGGAAGAACCUCCCGUCGGUUACUAUCCGGCGGGCCUGACGGUACCCUCAAAGGAAGCACCGGCUACCUCCGUGCCCGCAGCCGCGGUAAGACGGAGGGUGCAAGCGUUGUUCGGAACUAUUGGGCGUAAAGCGCGUGUAGGCGGUCUGUUAAGUCUGAUGUGAAAGCCCCGGGCUCAACCCGGGAAGUGCAUUGGAAACUGGCCGACUGGAGUACGGGAGAGGGUAGUGGAAUUCCGAGUGUAGGGGUGAAAUCCGUAGAUAUUCGGAGGAACACCGGUGGCGAAGGCGGCUACCUGGACCGAUACUGACGCUGAGACGCGAAAGCGUGGGGAGCAAAC